AGUAGUAACAGCUUUACAGGAAGUUACACUCUCUUUUCAAACUUCUUUCAUCCAAGAAAACAUGCUUUGCUUUGGGACUGCCUGAACAUUCCUCCUGACAUUAGAGGGUCGUGGAAUUAAAGUGGUGAAUAAUACAUGGCUGAAAGCAUCCGUCUCUCUCUGAGUUGCCUCUUUUGGACGUCGGGGGAUCUGAAGGCAAGUUAUUCAAAUCCCCAAAUUCCCAGAGAUGGUGUCCUCGGUGGCGGCUACUGUACGGUCCUGCAGUUCUAGAUCAGGUGGGAGAUGUGCGACGCUCCCUCUGGUACCAGGACCUGGCUCCUGCAGCUCCAGCUCCAUGUAGUUGAGCUGCUUCUUGGAUGUGGGACUAACAGGAAUAUUCACAUACGUCACGCCGUCGCUGCGAGGCCUUUCGGGAAGCGGCGGCACCGCCUCUGGAGGGAAAACGAACACUGCCCCUGUUAAUAGAAGGAGGAGCGACGUGUUAAUUACGCUCAGCUGCCGUCGAGCCGCCUCCUGGACGCCCCCCUUCAUUAACCGCUUGCUGAGGCAGGAUGACGGGAAAGAUUACAUGUGAGCCGAAGCCGUGUGUGUGCGUAGGUACGUGAACAUGACUGAUGGGUUUGGUGCCACACUGUGACAGCUGCUGGGACUUUCUAAAAGCAGGUGUGCAUUAGGCUGAGGGCAUGUUUCUGAGUGUGGGAUGCUUAAGUGGCCAAACGCCCCCUGACAACUGUCCCCUCACCUCACCAUCGGGGGGCAGGUAUCCUGUCAUGCAUCCCUGCACUGCUGUUUGGUUACAUAUCUGUGUUUUCUCUCCACACAAUUGGUUCUUGCGUAACUUGAGUUUUAGGCGUUACAUAGAGUGCAGAUGAAGAAAUAAAUAUUCACACUUCAGUGAGUCACUUAGACUGCACAAUAACAAGGAGAGGACGCCCAACAGAGUACAUCAUUCUGAAUGACAUUAAUGACAACAACAAUGAGUCAUACAAGUGUUUGUUUUGCAAGCUUAUAUGUGAGGUCAUUGUCAUCACAAAUCAUAUAAAUGAUGCCUGCUUAGCCCUAAUGUGCCCUCCUCAUGUACUGUCAUUAUAUUCACGCCACACUCCCGAUUCUGUUGUGUUGUAGAAAUAUAUACAAAGUCGCAUGACAAUGUGAGCAGUCAAACAGUAACAACAAAAACAGGAGGACAAGAAACUACCACAUUCUCAAUAAUAAAUAAUAAAUGUAAUUAUUUUAUGAGUUGGUUAUUUAAUUAUAAUCUUUGAAUAAUUUCUUGAAACGGUCCCGAAAUGAAGCGUACAACAAUAAUCAAACUAAUUAACAAUGAAUUACUAUCUACAAACUGAACUCCAUUUCAAUUUCCUUUAAUUAAUGUCACAUUAUAUAGUUUCUUUCCAGAAAACCUCCUAGGAAAUGAU
Larimichthys crocea (large yellow croaker) is the source of this 1418-nucleotide long non-coding RNA. RefSeq lists it as uncharacterized. Lineage: Eukaryota; Metazoa; Chordata; Actinopteri; Sciaenidae. The record is from RefSeq and is a predicted model, not a curated record. The transcript is spliced from 5 exons.